Molecule: long non-coding RNA, 2682 nt
Organism: Ictalurus punctatus (channel catfish)
Lineage: Eukaryota; Metazoa; Chordata; Actinopteri; Siluriformes; Ictaluridae
Source: Ensembl
GAGGGGUUGGGACGAUGCGAGUGUAUAUGCGCACCGUCUCUACGUCUCUUCCAACGCGUUCAUCUGGCUAGAGCAGAAGAGUCGGAGUUACCAAUCCUCCAACUAUUCAGACGUCGCUCCUGGUUCGCAAGGCAUCUUUCUCAACCGAAUCUAAUGUUAGAAAGACAAUAAUACGACACCGACCUUGAAGGGCCAAUAGCACUCUAAAUUCCUGAAUGUUUAGGUAUUCGGUUGAACGCAGGUAAGUUUUACAACCGUCAGUAAGAUAUGGGUCGCGUUCAGGCGCACCGUUUCCACCUCUUCUCAAACAGUACAGAGGCGGGGUUUCUGCAACGUCUUUGUUACCGUAUGAGGACGCGCACUGGUAAAUUAGCAUUCAGCGUGCUUCAACCUGAGUCACCAGCUCUGCAUGAACCAGUUGCUGCACGUUUCCGGAGUACAGACUGUGGUGUGUGUGUGUGUGUGUGUGUAUGUGUGUGUGUGUGUGUGUGUGUGUGAGAGAGAGAGAGAGAGAGAGAGAGAGAGAGAGAAUUUCCGGAAUCGCCUCUAAAGACAUCAGUACACCGCCAUAGGGAAAACAACAGUCUACACCUCCACAAGGAAGUAAAAAAUUUGGACCUCGUCGUCGAUAAGCGAACGAGAAAUCAUCAGAACGGCAAUGGACUUUUUAAUUCAUUUUCUCUGAUGCCACUUAUACCUCUGCAUAUAUUUGGAGCUUCUUGUAGCCUAUACAAACUAGCGCGACGGAAUUUAAAACCAAGCUUCAUUCAUGUGACUGCUGUUUGUUUCGACUGCUGUCCAUACACCUGUGCUGGAUUUGUCGGUCAUGGUGGACUGCGUCUUUGUAUUAUGGCCCGAGUUCAGACUACAAGCAGUGUCUCAUCUUGUGACGGCAGAAGAGUCGAAGUUGCUGCUGAAUUUGCACACAAUCAUAAGACGCUUCUCGCUAUGAGGAUGUGGACGGCACGUCGCGCAGCGGUGACUUUUUAGUUGAUUUUUUUUAUUAGUGGCAGGUUUAGUGCAGCUCAUAUGCUUAUGGUAUUUUCAGGUGAGAAACUUUGGAGGAUAUUAAUUUCAGUCGGUGGAGGAUGAUGUGACAGACCGCUCAACGCCGACUUCAGUAACUCGCAGAUCAAGUAAACCACCGCUAGCACAAUCCUUAGUUCUGGCGGUGGUUUACUUGAUCUGCGGGUAACUGCAGUAACUCCUCCCAGUAGCAUUUCUCCUCCUCAUACCAUUGACUUGAAUAGAAUUUCCGAAACUCAAUGGGAGGGGCGGAGAAAAUGAAACCCAAAUGAGAGCUUUAAAAAUGAGAGCACUACAGGGUUUUACUGCCUGUUCUCUAGUGGACAGUGCACUGUCAACAUCUCCCAAUCACUAUCUUGAAAACAAAGACGAAGCUGUACGAGAUAACCAGCGACGCUGGAAAAUCACAACGGAUCUGCAAGAGAAAUGGAAGAGCGGAAAGAGAAACGAUAACAGACCGGCUCAGAAAAAUCGGAGGGGAAAGAGAAACAGUAACAGACCGGCUCUGAAAAAUCGGAGCGGAAAGAGAAACGGUAACAGACCGGCUCUGAAAAAUUGGAGCGGAAAGAGAAACGGUAACAGACCGGCUCUGAAAAAUCGGAGCGGAAAGAGGAACGGUCAGCUGGAUAGUUGCUGGAAACGACAUCGAAAUGGCUGCAACUCAAACCAUCUGUGAUGGUGUAUGCACUGCAGCACUCAGCUGUCUGCCUGCGAUCUGCCAGAUGUUCACUACCGUCUGUGCAUGUGGAGAAGAGAGUCAUGAUGGCGAUGCAGUGACAGAGGGCUCAGCAGAGUCAGAAGAAGGUCUGUUGAUUUACAUUUGAUAUUACAUUUGAGUAAUUUUGUUGUAGUAAUUAUACGCAUGGAUAUGCAGUAUUGUCAAAUGAAGUUCUUUAUAUCAAUUUUUUUAACUAAAAUGUCUUAUUAAAAGUCCAGUUUCUCUGUUCCUAGGUGUUAAACUCUCAGUGGAGGAGACUGAACCAGCAGGGACCCAAAGCUCAGUGCAUCCCUUCUUCUCCACACAGCCAUGAAAGACAUCAUCUGUUAUAACAGGAAAUGAGAAAAAUCAUAUCUCCCAAGUCCAGUAGGAUACAAUGGACUACUUGCACAAACUCUUCUACAUAUAUGACCACCACCAUCACCACCACUGUCAUCAAAACCACCACCAUCACCACCACCAUCAUCAAAACCACCACCACCAUCACCACCAUCAUCAAAACCACCACCACCAUCACCACCAUCAUCACCAUCACUACCAUCACCACCAUCAUCACCAUAAACACCAUAACCACCACCAUCACCACCACCACCACUAUCAUCACCAUCACCACCACCACCAUCACCAUCACCACCACAAAAUCACUGGGAAGCUUUCCGUGAAGAUUAAAGCUGAUGCUGCAAUGAGAAACACUGCAGUGCUCAUGAUAUUUCUUCAGUUCUCAUUGAAAAUAUUCGUUUUUAAACACUUUGUGGUGGACACUCAUUUUGAUCACAUUACAAAGGAAAAUAAGCAGUACUGACAAAUGUAAACAAUGAUACCAGAGACACAACAUAUUUUUGUGCUUGUAAUUGUAUAUAUUUUCUGUCAAGUGUAUAUCUAGUUUUUUUUUAAGAUGUUAAAUUAAAUAAAAAUAUAUUUAUAGACUUUCCCAGUGG